This 421-nucleotide ribosomal RNA is filed under the name uncultured bacterium. RNAcentral's name for it is "bacterial SSU rRNA". It matches the Rfam family "Bacterial small subunit ribosomal RNA", at positions 28 to 450 of the family's 1533-position model. The record is from RNAcentral.
GAUGAACGCUAGCGGCAGGCUUAACACAUGCAAGUCGAGGGGUAUGCCGAUUUAUCGGCAGAGACCGGCGCACGGGUGCGUAACGCGUAUGCAAUCUACCUUUCACAGAGGGAUAGCCCAGAGAAAUUUGGAUUAAUACCUCAUAGUGUUAUUAGAUGGCAUCAUUUGAUAACUAAAGUUCCAACGGUAAAGAUGGGCAUGCGUCCUAUUAGCUAGAUGGUAAGGUAACGGCUUACCAUGGCUACGAUAGGUAGGGGUCCUGAGAGGGAGAUCCCCCACACUGGUACUGAGACACGGACCAGACCUCCUACGGGAGGCAGCAGUGAGGAAUAUUGGACAAUGGGCGCAAGCCUGAUCCCAGCCAUGCCGCGUGCAGGAAGAAGCAUCCUAUGGUGUGUAAACUGCUUUUGACGGGAAGAAC